UACGUAGGGUGCGAGCGUUAAUCGGAAUUACUGGGCGUAAAGCGUGCGCAGGCGGUUAUUUAAGUCAGGCGUGAAAGCCCUGGGCUUAACCUAGGAAUUGCGCUUGAGACUGGAUAGCUUGGAGUGCGGCAGAGGGAGGUGGAAUUCCACGUGUAGCAGUGAAAUGCGUAGAGAUGUGGAGGAACACCGAUGGCGAAGGCAGCCUCCUGGGCCAGCACUGACGCUCAUGCACGAAAGCGUGGGGAGCAAACAGG
RNAcentral lists this ribosomal RNA (254 nucleotides) under uncultured bacterium. Its description in RNAcentral is "partial 16S ribosomal RNA". It matches the Rfam family "Bacterial small subunit ribosomal RNA", at positions 524 to 776 of the family's 1533-position model. The record is from RNAcentral.